GUAAAAUAUUCCUUUUAUUUUUCUUUUUCUGUAUUAAAGAAAUUUUAUUAAGAUAAACAAGAAAUUAGAGUGUAAAUAACUUGCCCAAUUUCCUCGUACUGACAAGUGCUUCAUCCACAAUUCUGAAGUUCUUCAUCAUCACACCUUUCUUUCUGCUUUUUACCCCUUUUGAUUUUUAAAUAGUUGGUCCAGCACAUGAGGCCAUUUUUCACUCGUAGAAAGACAUUAACCAGCUUCUAUGUACCACCACCUCCAGAAUUUGCCAGCAAAUUUGAUUGCAUUUUCAAUCAUGUAGCCAUAGCAUUUGUUG
Molecule: unclassified non-coding RNA, 310 nt
Filed under: Hevea brasiliensis (rubber tree)
Lineage: Eukaryota; Viridiplantae; Streptophyta; Magnoliopsida; Malpighiales; Euphorbiaceae
Source: RNAcentral